AGGGUUUGAUCAUGGCUCAGGACGAACGCUGGCGGUGCGCCUUAUGCAUGCAAGUCGAGCGAAGCUUUUUGGUAGUUUACUACUAGAAAUGACUGAGCGGCGAACGGGUGAGUAACGCGUGAGCAAUCUACCUUAGUUACUGGGAUAGCCCGAGGAAACUCGGAUUAAUACCAGAUAUUCUUAUUUUUUCACAUGAAGUUUUAAGGAAAGGUCAGCCGAACUAAGAUGAGCUCGCGUUCUAUCAGCUAGUUGGUGGGGUAAAAGCCUACCAAGGCUACGACGGAUAGCUGGUCUGAGAGGACGAUCAGCCACACUGGGACUGAGACACGGCCCAGACUCCUACGGGAGGCUGCAGCAGGGAAUAUUGUGCAAUGAGCGAAAGCUUGACACAGCGACACCGCGUGUGGGAUGACGGUUCUAGGAUUGUAAACCACUUUCAGGAGGGAAGAAAAUGACGGUACCUCCACAAGAAGACCCGGCCAACUAUGUGCCAGCAGCCGCGGUAAUUC
RNAcentral lists this ribosomal RNA (509 nucleotides) under uncultured bacterium. Its description in RNAcentral is "bacterial SSU rRNA". It matches the Rfam family "Bacterial small subunit ribosomal RNA", at positions 8 to 526 of the family's 1533-position model. The record is from RNAcentral.